RNAcentral lists this unclassified non-coding RNA (307 nucleotides) under plant metagenome. RNAcentral's name for it is "partial contains 5.8S ribosomal RNA, internal transcribed spacer 2, and large subunit ribosomal RNA". The stretch from base 1 to 105 matches the Rfam family "5.8S ribosomal RNA", at positions 50 to 154 of the family's 154-position model. The record is from RNAcentral.
GAAAUGCGAUAAGUAGUGUGAAUUGCAGAAUUCAGUGAAUCAUCGAAUCUUUGAACGCACAUUGCGCCCCUCGGCAUUCCGUGGGGCAUGCCUGUUCGAGCGUCAUCUACACCCUCAAGCUCUGCUUGGUGUUGGGCGUCUGUCCCACCUCCGCGCGCGGACUCGCCCCAAAUGCAUUGGCAGCGGUUCCUUGCCCCCCUCUUUGCGCAGCACAUUGCCAUUCGAGGCGGCGGCGGCCCGCGUCCAACAAGCUCAACCCCCCCGUCUUUGACCUCGGAUCAGGUAGGGAUACCCGCUGAACUUAAGC